Long non-coding RNA from Camelus dromedarius (Arabian camel), 198 nucleotides. RefSeq lists it as uncharacterized. Lineage: Eukaryota; Metazoa; Chordata; Mammalia; Artiodactyla; Camelidae. The record is from RefSeq and is a predicted model, not a curated record. The transcript is spliced from 3 exons.
GUUAACCUCUGGUGAUGAGGUUAGAAACCGCGUACCCAUAUGAGGGCAGGUAAUGUCCAGGGUCCUUGAAAGGAAUCAUCCAGUCAAGAAAUACCCAGAACAGGACUGGCAUAUAGAAGACACUAAGGUCACUCCAUCUUCUGGAUCUUGGGCUUCUGCUCUGAAAAACCCUCCCGAGAGCUGAUGGGGCUGCAAAGA